This 2588-nucleotide ribosomal RNA is filed under the name Escherichia coli HVH 82 (4-2209276). Its description in RNAcentral is "bacterial LSU rRNA". It matches the Rfam family "Bacterial large subunit ribosomal RNA", at positions 354 to 2925 of the family's 2925-position model. Lineage: Bacteria; Pseudomonadati; Pseudomonadota; Gammaproteobacteria; Enterobacterales; Enterobacteriaceae. The record is from RNAcentral.
GCGAUACAGGGUGACAGCCCCGUACACAAAAAUGCACAUGCUGUGAGCUCGAUGAGUAGGGCGGGACACGUGGUAUCCUGUCUGAAUAUGGGGGGACCAUCCUCCAAGGCUAAAUACUCCUGACUGACCGAUAGUGAACCAGUACCGUGAGGGAAAGGCGAAAAGAACCCCGGCGAGGGGAGUGAAAAAGAACCUGAAACCGUGUACGUACAAGCAGUGGGAGCACGCUUAGGCGUGUGACUGCGUACCUUUUGUAUAAUGGGUCAGCGACUUAUAUUCUGUAGCAAGGUUAACCGAAUAGGGGAGCCGAAGGGAAACCGAGUCUUAACUGGGCGUUAAGUUGCAGGGUAUAGACCCGAAACCCGGUGAUCUAGCCAUGGGCAGGUUGAAGGUUGGGUAACACUAACUGGAGGACCGAACCGACUAAUGUUGAAAAAUUAGCGGAUGACUUGUGGCUGGGGGUGAAAGGCCAAUCAAACCGGGAGAUAGCUGGUUCUCCCCGAAAGCUAUUUAGGUAGCGCCUCGUGAAUUCAUCUCCGGGGGUAGAGCACUGUUUCGGCAAGGGGGUCAUCCCGACUUACCAACCCGAUGCAAACUGCGAAUACCGGAGAAUGUUAUCACGGGAGACACACGGCGGGUGCUAACGUCCGUCGUGAAGAGGGAAACAACCCAGACCGCCAGCUAAGGUCCCAAAGUCAUGGUUAAGUGGGAAACGAUGUGGGAAGGCCCAGACAGCCAGGAUGUUGGCUUAGAAGCAGCCAUCAUUUAAAGAAAGCGUAAUAGCUCACUGGUCGAGUCGGCCUGCGCGGAAGAUGUAACGGGGCUAAACCAUGCACCGAAGCUGCGGCAGCGACGCUUAUGCGUUGUUGGGUAGGGGAGCGUUCUGUAAGCCUGUGAAGGUGGCCUGUGAGGCAUGCUGGAGGUAUCAGAAGUGCGAAUGCUGACAUAAGUAACGAUAAAGCGGGUGAAAAGCCCGCUCGCCGGAAGACCAAGGGUUCCUGUCCAACGUUAAUCGGGGCAGGGUGAGUCGACCCCUAAGGCGAGGCCGAAAGGCGUAGUCGAUGGGAAACAGGUUAAUAUUCCUGUACUUGGUGUUACUGCGAAGGGGGGACGGAGAAGGCUAUGUUGGCCGGGCGACGGUUGUCCCGGUUUAAGCGUGUAGGCUGGUUUUCCAGGCAAAUCCGGAAAAUCAAGGCUGAGGCGUGAUGACGAGGCACUACGGUGCUGAAGCAACAAAUGCCCUGCUUCCAGGAAAAGCCUCUAAGCAUCAGGUAACAUCAAAUCGUACCCCAAACCGACACAGGUGGUCAGGUAGAGAAUACCAAGGCGCUUGAGAGAACUCGGGUGAAGGAACUAGGCAAAAUGGUGCCGUAACUUCGGGAGAAGGCACGCUGAUAUGUAGGUGAAGUCACUUGCGGGUGGAGCUGAAAUCAGUCGAAGAUACCAGCUGGCUGCAACUGUUUAUUAAAAACACAGCACUGUGCAAACACGAAAGUGGACGUAUACGGUGUGACGCCUGCCCGGUGCCGGAAGGUUAAUUGAUGGGGUCAGCGCAAGCGAAGCUCUUGAUCGAAGCCCCGGUAAACGGCGGCCGUAACUAUAACGGUCCUAAGGUAGCGAAAUUCCUUGUCGGGUAAGUUCCGACCUGCACGAAUGGCGUAAUGAUGGCCAGGCUGUCUCCACCCGAGACUCAGUGAAAUUGAACUCGCUGUGAAGAUGCAGUGUACCCGCGGCAAGACGGAAAGACCCCGUGAACCUUUACUAUAGCUUGACACUGAACAUUGAGCCUUGAUGUGUAGGAUAGGUGGGAGGCUUAGAAGUGUGGACGCCAGUCUGCAUGGAGCCGACCUUGAAAUACCACCCUUUAAUGUUUGAUGUUCUAACGUUGACCCGUAAUCCGGGUUGCGGACAGUGUCUGGUGGGUAGUUUGACUGGGGCGGUCUCCUCCUAAAGAGUAACGGAGGAGCACGAAGGUUGGCUAAUCCUGGUCGGACAUCAGGAGGUUAGUGCAAUGGCAUAAGCCAGCUUGACUGCGAGCGUGACGGCGCGAGCAGGUGCGAAAGCAGGUCAUAGUGAUCCGGUGGUUCUGAAUGGAAGGGCCAUCGCUCAACGGAUAAAAGGUACUCCGGGGAUAACAGGCUGAUACCGCCCAAGAGUUCAUAUCGACGGCGGUGUUUGGCACCUCGAUGUCGGCUCAUCACAUCCUGGGGCUGAAGUAGGUCCCAAGGGUAUGGCUGUUCGCCAUUUAAAGUGGUACGCGAGCUGGGUUUAGAACGUCGUGAGACAGUUCGGUCCCUAUCUGCCGUGGGCGCUGGAGAACUGAGGGGGGCUGCUCCUAGUACGAGAGGACCGGAGUGGACGCAUCACUGGUGUUCGGGUUGUCAUGCCAAUGGCACUGCCCGGUAGCUAAAUGCGGAAGAGAUAAGUGCUGAAAGCAUCUAAGCACGAAACUUGCCCCGAGAUGAGUUCUCCCUGACCCUUUAAGGGUCCUGAAGGAACGUUGAAGACGACGACGUUGAUAGGCCGGGUGUGUAAGCGCAGCGAUGCGUUGAGCUAACCGGUACUAAUGAACCGUGAGGCUUAACCUU